CAAGCGUUGGCUCUACAAGUCUAACAUAAGCCAAAGUGAGGAAGCUGGCCCAGGGAAGAGCUGGGAGAGCCUGGGACAGCCUUCCUCCCUCUCAACUGUAAUACAGGCCUCUACACAGACCUCUAUAUGGGCCUCUCUAUAUUAGCACUUCUUUUCAGGAUGGUGACAGAUAAGAAAACUGGGAAGAUUUUAAUGCUGGAUCUGAGAUUGAUGGAUUCACAGGAUAAAUAAAUACUAAAUACUAGAAUAAUGGCCAGUUCACCUAAAUCCAGCCAUUUAAAAAAAUGUUGAAUAUGCACAUUAAAUGAACAUGUUUACCAUAAAUAAAAACAGAGACCAGCCCACAGGGUUGGCUUUUUCCAUGUUUGACACUGGAAGAUGUCUGGUGCUUACUCACCCUCGGCUACGGUCAAUCUCAUCACGAAGGUUUCGUUUUCUCCUGCGCUGGCCUGCAAGUAGCAGCGGUAAAGCCCCGAGUCUGAGGCUGUGA
Long non-coding RNA from Rhinopithecus roxellana (golden snub-nosed monkey), 490 nucleotides. RefSeq lists it as uncharacterized. The record is from RefSeq and is a predicted model, not a curated record. Lineage: Eukaryota; Metazoa; Chordata; Mammalia; Primates; Cercopithecidae. The transcript has 3 exons.